UACGGAGGGUGCAAGCGUUACUCGGAAUCACUGGGCGUAAAGAGCGUGUAGGCGGAUUUGUAAGUUGGAAGUGAAAUCCUAUGGCUCAACCAUAGAACUGCUUCCAAAACUGCAUGUCUAGAGUGUGGGAGAGGUAGAUGGAAUUUCUGGUGUAGGGGUAAAAUCCGUAGAGAUCAGAAGGAAUACCGAUUGCGAAGGCGAUCUACUGGAACAUAACUGACGCUGAGACGCGAAAGCGUGGGGAGCAAACAGGAUUAGAUACCCUGGUAGUCCACGCCCUAAACGAUGUACACUAGUUGUUGUGAGGUUCGACCUUGCAGUAAUGCAGUUAACACAGUAAGUGUACCGCCUGGGGAGUACGGUCGCAAGAUUAAAACUCAAAGGAAUAGACGGGGACCCGCACAAGCGGUGGAGCAUGUGGUUUAAUUCGAAGAUACGCGAAGAACCUUACCUGGACUUGACAUUGAAAGAAUCCUGUAGAGAUACGGGAGUGCUAGCUUGCUAGAGCUUGAAAACAGGUGCUGCACGGCUGUCGUCAGCUCGUGUCGUGAGAUGUUGGGUUAAGUCCCGCAACGAGCGCAACCCACGUCGUUAGUUGCUAACAGUUAGGCUGAGAACUCUAACGAGACUGCCUUCGUAAGGAGGAGGAAGGUGUGGACGACGUCAAGUCAUCAUGGCCCUUACGUCCAGGGCUACACACGUGCUACAAUGGGGUAUACAAAGAGCAGCAAUACGGUGACGUGGAGCAAAUCUCAUAAAAUGCCUCCCAGUUCGGAUUGUAGUCUGCAACUCGACUACAUGAAGUUGGAAUCGCUAGUAAUCGUAGAUCAGCAUUGCUACGGUGAAUACGUUCCCGGGUCU
Molecule: ribosomal RNA, 861 nt
Filed under: uncultured bacterium
Lineage: Bacteria
Description: SSU rRNA
Rfam family: Bacterial small subunit ribosomal RNA
Source: RNAcentral